This 503-nucleotide ribosomal RNA is filed under the name uncultured bacterium. Its description in RNAcentral is "partial 16S ribosomal RNA". It matches the Rfam family "Bacterial small subunit ribosomal RNA", at positions 30 to 523 of the family's 1533-position model. The record is from RNAcentral.
AUUGAACGCUGGCGGCAGGCUUAACACAUGCAAGUCGAGCGGGGUGAUGGUGCUUGCACUAUCACUUAGCGGCGGACGGGUGGGUAAUGCUUAGGAAUCUGCCACUUAGUGGGGGACAACAUCUCGAAAGGGAUGCUAAUACUGCAUACGUCCUACGGGAGAAAGCAGGGCAUCACUAGUGACCUUGCGCUAAUAGAUGAGCCUAAGUCGGAGUAGCUAGUUGGUGGGGUAAAGGCCUACCAAGGCGACGAUCUGUAGCGGGUCUGAGAGGAUGAUCCGCCACACUGGGACUGAGACACGGCCCAGACUCCUACGGGAGGCAGCAGUGGGGAAUAUUGGACAAUGGGGGGAACCCUGAUCCAGCCAUGCCGCGUGUGUGAAGAAGGCCUUAUGGUUGUAGAGCACUUUAAGCGAGGAGGAGGCUCUUUUGGUUAAUACCCAAGAUGAGUGGACGUUACUCGCAGAAUAAGCACCGGCUAACUCUGUGCCAGCAGCCGCCGUAA